Non-coding RNA from Macaca mulatta (Rhesus monkey), 7486 nucleotides. The record is from RefSeq and is a predicted model, not a curated record. NCBI's taxonomy places the organism in Eukaryota, Metazoa, Chordata, Mammalia, Primates, Cercopithecidae.
AUGGGCCUCCCAAGGUGCUGGGAUUACAGGCGUGAGCCACCACGCCUGGGCCAAGUUUCUGUUUCUAUGGAGGAAAGCAAACAUGAAUUGUCGCUGGUCACGCAUUGUACAAUCAUUCCAAAAACAACAGCAGCAAUAACUCAAACCUCAGAUUGUUUUAUUUGAGCCACAGGUGAGUCUCUAAGUGAAGACCUAGUUUAAAAUACUGCAAAGCUGAGUGUUUAAAAAAGCAUCGAUCUGGAAUCAGUGAAAGCAACAACCUGUAAUAGCUGGAGGCAGCAGAGAGUGACAUUCAAUUAAGUACUUUCAUUAAUCAUUUAUAAAAUUAAUCCUUAGAACUCGAUGAUAAUGUAUUAAAAUGAAGUGCUGAUUAGGACUGACCCCGUGGCAGUUCCUUCAGGAAGUAAGGAAUAAAUAAAAUUUUUCAUUUAGGCAAUGUUCCAGCUACUAUUGAUGGUACUUGUACCUAAGAGGAUUCCUUACGGGAACAGCAAACAUAAAUAGAAGCAGGUGAUGACCAGACCCUGUGGUACAGUAGCUAAGAGAUGCAACAACCAUACCUCACUAAUUUUGACUAAUUAGAAAGAAAUUCAGAUUGAAUUUGCAAAGUCUGAUUAUACAAUAUGUAAUGUGAUUGUCCUACUUUUCCUUUUUGUGAUUAUACAAAUCAGUUUUUAAAUCUGACAUAGUUGAGUUUUUCAAGGCAUUGUCAAUGGCUUCUGUUCUAUCCAUUGAAUUUUACCUCUGUAACAGAUACAAUGUAAGAGUCAUUUAACAAUUUUUGAACACCUAUUAUGUGCCAACUACUGUGGUAGGCUCUUUACAUCCAUCAUUUAUUUCACAUUUGUACUAAUCCUUAGAUAGGCUUUAGUCCAAUUUUACUGAUUAAAAAGUAGGGCAACCCUACUAGAAAUGUCAGGACCAGAAUUUGAACCAAGUUCUUCCUGUGGCCCAAGUCCAUGCCCCUUCCAUUAUGUUGCACCAUCUUCCAUGAGUGUAAAAGUAAUAUAGGCCAAGGAUUCCACGUCUCAAUGUGGUACAAAUUGUUGAUUCUUUCAUCUUCUCCUUAUUGCUUGUUUUAAAAAUAUACUAGCCAAGGUAAGGGAAUGAGUAGAAUAAUAUCGGAAUAACUGAGGGACUCCCUUAGGAAGUCCUAAUCAUUUUUGUAUUUAUGUUUAGUAUAAUCAACAACCCAACAAAACAUGUUCAUUAUUAUCUUGGACAGUAUAUGUUCACUUACUACCAUUACUUUACUUAGAUGGAAACUGCAGCCUAGGCAUUAUAUGAAUGCCAUCACCCUUGUAAUGGUGGCAUCCUAAUUAAUGAGGUUUAAAAUGUUAUAAGCUAAAUUCUUUCCUCGUAAGUGUGCAGAUGUAUAUAGGAAGAGCUUAAAGCAUUAUUGUCAGCCUAAGGGUAGGGGUAGACCUGUUCCCUGAAAACACUAUUAAAAAGUACCCUUUUGUGAUUUGUUGUGGAUUAUAUCCGAUAAAGAAAAAGCAUUUCCUCAAAUUGCUCAGGUAUUUCAUUAAAACUCAUCUGCUACUGGACAGUGAGUUGUUUCAAUGGGUAGAAGCAUAGACAACCUGGAGUGCUAUGUAUAUCCUUUAAUAGUAUUUCCUUAAAAAUUGUUAAACUUUGUUUGUGGAAAAUCUAUGGAGUUUAACUUAGUCUCUGUAAAUAUGGCCUCCAUUAUGCUAGAAUAUGAGCCCCUGGAUCUCAUAGAAUUCUUUUUCAUACUUGUGUUCCUUGUAGUGCAGUACCUAGAAUAAUAGGUGAUACAUGAUUAUUAAGAUGAAUUAAAGUUAUAUGCUUUAUAUAUAUGUCAAUACUAUAUAUAUAUGAAUAGAUUGAUAUACAUAUCAAUCAAGGAAAGGUGCAUAAGUUCAAUUAUGUUACAUACAGAUGAGAAUAUUAUUAAGAAUAUUAUCAAGACAUACUCAAGACUGCAUAAUUUAUAAAGAAAAGAGGUUUAAUGGACUCACAGUUCUACAUGGCUGGAGAGGCCUUAUAAUCAUGGCAGAAGAUAAAGGAAGAGCAAACGGAUGUCUUACAUGGCGGCAGGCAAGAGGGAGCAUGUGCAGAGGAACUCCUCUUUAUUAAACCAUCAGAUACCAUGAGACUUAUUCACUGUCACAAGAUCAGCCCUAGAAAAACCCACCUGCAUGAUUCAGUUACCUCCCACAGGGUCCAUUCCAUGACACGUAGGGAUUAUUACAAUUCAAGGUGUGAUUUGGGUGGGGACACAGAGCCAAAACAUAUCAGGUGCUUAUUCAUAUAUUUGUCUAUAUAUCCAUCCUUUCAUAUGUUUGUAUGCCAUCUGCAUAUUCAUUCAUCAAAGAAAACUUCCAGUUAAAAAAAUUAGAUAAUGUUUUUGAUUUAGUAAUAAGAAAAUUGCUUUAUUUUUCUUUGUUGUAAUGUUAUUUAUAAGCUUAAUACAAUUUAAUUUUCAAAACAAGAUAAACUCUUACCUGAUUACUAAUGAUUAUAAAAAUUAGAUAGGAAAUAAUUACUGCUGGUUUCCUAAAAUAUGUCACAAUAACUUGAAGAUUGAAUUUCUAUUAAUCAUUUCAGUUGUAUAUAAAGCGUGCAUCACUUAAGAAGCAAAGAAUAAUAAUCUAUAAUUUCUUCCUACACCUCUAAAUCCCCAAUUUAAAACAACUACAGGAACAGGAGCUGCUUUUUGCAACAGUAAUUAUGACCCUAGUGAUAACAUGAACACUGCUGUAUUCUUUUUUUUUUUUUUUUUUUUUUGAGACGGAGUCUCGCUCUGUCGCCCAGGCUGGAGUGCAGUGGCCGGAUCUCAGCUCACUGCAAGCUCCGCCUCCCGGGUUUACGCCAUUCUCCUGCCUCAGCCUCCCCAGUAGCUGGGACUACAGGCGCCCGCCACCUCGCCUGGCUAGUUUUUUGUAUUUUUUAGUGGGCCGGGCGCGGUGGCUCAAGCCUGUAAUCCCAGCACUUUGGGAGGCCGAGACGGGCGGAUCACGAGGUCAGCAGAUCGAGACCAUCCUGGCUAACCCGGUGAAACACUGCUGUAUUCUUAUCCUUUAAAUAAAAAAACAAAUGUCAUUACAGGUUCUGGAAGAUGAGCUUGUGCUAUACCAAUGAGUAAAUUAUCUAGGAUCCCACUUAUUUUGUGAGGCAUCUUUCUUUUUUUUAUAUUUUUAUGGGGGUUGGGAAAGUGGCUGAGUAUUUUUCCUGAAGUUAAAAUAUGAGGCUCUGUACUCCUCUUCACAUUUGAGUUCAUAAGUAAUGAGAACAUCCUUAUUUUACUUUUCAGUACUCAACAGUAAAGUCAACGUGUGUUUAUGGAAUACCUACAAAUUGACCAACUAAUACUAAGCAAUUAAAGAAUACAGAGAUGAAAUUAGGACUAUUGCCUCCUAGAAUUUUUCCAUAUUGUUGGAAAGACAAACUAUGCAGAAUAAAUGAAAUAUAAUGAUCUAAGUAUUUUCCCAUAUACUGCUGUGAUUUACAUGUGGUUAUAAAAUCUAGCAUAGAAGUCUCUUUUUGAGAUAUUUUUGGGUUAAAUUGCUCAUUCUUUUAAUAAGUGGUUCUUUAUUGAUGUGCAAUUUGCUGGUUAUUAUUUGUCAAAUAAAGCAUGGAAAUUCCCCAAGUUAGGAGAAGGAGAAGACGACUUUCUGAUAGCUUCAAGCUGGGCUGCUACUGGCUCUAUUGGAAAACAGUUUUCCAGAGGACAGGAGCACAUAACUAACAUACCAAAAUGACUUAUUUGCACGAUAGUAUAUGUUGAAUUUGUGGUUGUUCAAGUAAAUUAAGAAAGAAGUCAUUCAUGGAUUCAACAAAUAUUUAUUGACUUCCUGUUAUGUGCAAGGCACUAUGCAUGAUGCAAAAAAAAAAAAAUCACUGGUCAAGCCAACAGAGAGCACUCUUUGCUUUCAUGGCCCUUACAAUGUGAUAAUGGAGAUAGACAGAAAAUAUUUCAAGAAAUAAGUGAUAGGAAGAAAAAGAUUAGAUGGUAUGGAAGGGAAUAACAGGAGACUGACUUAGAAGGUUUCCCUCGGCUGGGCGCGGUGGCUCAAGCCUGUAAUCCCAGCACUUUGGGAGGCUGAGACGGGCGGAUCACGAGGUCAGGAGAUCGAGACCAUCCUGGCUAACCCGGUGAAACCCCGUGUCUACUAAAAAAUACAAAAAACUAGGCAGGCGAGGUGGCGGGCGCCUGUAAUCCCAGCUACUCGGGAGGCUGAGACAGGAGAAUGGCGUAAACCCGGGAGUCGGAGCUUGCAGUGAGCUGAGAUCUGCCCACUGCACUCCAGCCUGGGCGACAGAACCAGACUCCGUCUCAAUUAAAAAAAAAAAAAAAAAAACAAAACAAGAAGGUUUCCCUGAAGAAUUGAUAUUUAAAAUGAAACCUAAAGAAUCAGUAAGUGUUAAGUAAGUGAAGAGUAAAAAGGCAAAACAUUAGCAGGUGUAAAAGCCAAAAAUGAAAAAAGAACUUGAUAUAUUCACAGAAUUGAAAGAUGCAUAAGAAAAAAAAAAGUCAUAGUGGCUAUUGCAUAAGUCAGAAAGAAGGUCAGUGAGACAACACUUCAGGAAAAAUCACAUGCAAGAGGGUACAGUCACAUAAACAUUUUGGAGAAUGUCUAGGGGACACACAAUAAAUAGCACCUCAUUGUUAUCCGAUUCUGGACAAACAUGGGGAAAUGUUAGGGAAAACAUGGAAGCCAAAACAUCUGCUUAGUGUGAGAGCCAAAUGGGCUCACACCCUAACCCCAAGAAUGAUAGACACUGUUAGCCCAUCCAUAAGAAGGGCUGGAGCAAAGAAAGGCUACCACAGUGAGGCAGGUGAAAAGAGGAGUGAGCAGAGAAGAGCAUGCCAGCUUAUUCUUCCCACACUACCACCCAGAUACGUCUCUCCAUUCUCUCAAGAGUGGAGAAAAUAAAGGAGCAGGAGAAGCUCAGACUUAUAGCAAACCUGAGCCCCCUCACAGGAUGGAAAAAAUGUUGGCAAAGAAACAUGGCAGAAAUAUUAUACAGUUUGGAUAUUCUAAAUUAAUGUUAAUGUUUUAAGGAAGAAUACAUUAUCCAAUAUAUAUCAUUAAAAGAGUACUUCAAAGCCUCCAUGCAAAGGUGUUAAAAAGCAAAAAAGCCCAGGCCCAGUGGCUCACACCUGUAAUCUUAGCACUUUGGGAGGCUGAGGUAAGAGGAUUGCUUGAGUCCAGGAGUUUGAGACCAGCCUGGACAACACUGCAAGACCUUGUCUCAAAAUAUUCAUAAAAAAUUACCCAGGUAUGGUGGCACACACCUGUAGUCCCAUAUGCUCAUGAGGCUAGGCAGGAGGAUCACUUGAGCUCAAGAGUUUGAGGUGACAAUGGGCUAUGAUCGUACUAUUGCACUCCAACCUGGGUGAUAGAGACUGAUCCUGUCUAAAAGAAAUGAAAAGAAAGAGGAAGAAAGAAGGGAGGGAGGGAAGGAAGGAAGGAAGGAAGGAAGGGGGAAAGGGAAAAGAAAAAGAUGAGUGAAUAUUAUUGAGGACUAAGUGAUUUCAAAUUACCAAAAUUGAUGCAUAUUUACAUUUAACCUGGCUUCAGAGAAUAUUAUUUAUGACUAAAUCAUAUCAAGUCACUUUUAUUAGUGCAUGCUUAUACUAAAUAUAGCAUUUGAGAGUGGUAAGCACACACAAACAGAUACACACACACACAACCUAUAGAAUUAAUCACCUCAUCUAGCACAGAGGCAUUGACACAUAAAAAAUAAAGACCAUAGGUGUCUUAGUUCAUUCAGGAUUCUUUAACAAAAUACCAUAAGCUUGGUACCUUAUAAAUAACAGAAAAUUACUUCUCACAGUUUCUAGAGGCUGAGAACUUGAAGAUCAAAGUGGACUUGAUGUCCAAUGAGGACCGAUCUUCUUGCUGUAACCUAACAUGGUGGAAGGGUCUAGCUAGCUCUCUGCAGUUGGUGAAUAGUGUCCCCCGCUUUUUUAUAAGGGCACUAAUCCCCUAAUGGGGGUUCCGUCUUCAUUAUCUAGCCACCUCCUAAAGACCCCAUCUCCUAACACCAUCAGCUUGAAUGUUAGUAUUCAACACAUGGAUUUUCAGGGACACAAAUAUUUAUACCAUAGCAACAGGAAUAAAAAUAAGCAAAUACAUAUAUUUUUUUACUAUGUGCUAAGCAAUGUUCUAAGUACUUUACAAAUAUCAACUUAUUUAAUCCACUUAAUCUAAUGAAAUACAUAUUAUGAUUUUUUUUCAUUCUCACUUUACAGAUAAGGCUUUUAACAUUAGAGGAAUGGAGAAUUUUGCCUAUGGUUGGACAGGUAGUAACUAGUAGAGGUAGGAUUUAUCUCCACGGCUCGUGAUUUUAGCCACUUUGCUACAGAUGGAUGAGGUAAGCUUAGGAGCAUUUGAGGAGCAGUUUGCAUUUUUUGUCUUUUUUUUUUCUUUUAGUACUUUGGGUAGAAAGGAUUAGUCAUAAAGAAUAUACUGUAAGCUGGGUAUGGUGGCAUGCACCUGUAGUCAUAGCUACUUAGGAGGCUGGAAGAUCGCUUGAGCCCAGGAGUUAGAGGCUUCAGUGAGCUGUGAGUGCACCAGCCUGGGUGACAGGGCAAGACUCUGUCUCUAGAAAGAAAAAAAAAGUUGAGGCUGCAGAAUAUAUGGUGGCAGGUGAAAAUGUAUUUUGCUCUAUGCAUAUUUGCCUAGAACAUUUUGUACAAUAAUAUUAUUAAUUUAGAAAGCUCUCAUAAAGACGUUAAAAAAUGUGGUGCCUGCAAUUUUUUUUUCGUGGAGUCUCUGAAGUGUUAAAUGAAUCUCCUUAGUCAAUUGGCAUGGGGGAUGAUUAUGUGUAGACUGAAGUAAAAUAUCCUAACACAUACUAUAUUAAAAUAGUCUUGUAUUUUGCAAUCACCUGUCAACUUAUUUGCCUCUAUUAAUGCAGCAGCCACUAUAACAGACACAGGUUGAAGUAAUUAGUGUUUAAAUUGUCUCUCAAAACUACUGUAUUUCCCCAUCACCCUCUAGAGGAGGUAGGUUUGAUGGUACAAUGCCAUGAAAGAAAGCUGCUUCUAAGAACUAUUAAACGGAGAUUUGUUUUGUUUUGUUUUGUUUUUUAUUACAAUGCUCUCCAUGGAUGAGGAUGCUUUUGUACAAUUCACACACGCUUUCCAGAUUGUUCUGGAACAUCUGAGAAAGACGUAUCAUUGAAACAACUUUCAUCCAUUUCAUGGGUAGAAAUUACUCUGGCUGCUAUGAAGAGAAAGAAUAUUCACUGAAAAUAUUUUGGAUGUCACCGGAUGCCCCUGUUUGAUGCUGCCCUGUGGAAGGAGUACUGUGUUUCAAAGUUGGGUGCAGUUGUAGAUGGUAAUUAAAGGCACAAAAGAGAUAAAGCUCUGAAGGACAAAUGAACUGAAGAAGAUGCAGUGAUUAUGACAAAAGUACUGGAUGCCCAAUUCUAUGCUUCAACAAGUUCACAAUUCUACUUCUCAAAAUGAUAAUAGAGGGCAAUUUAAUUAAAAGAUAAUGGAAUGAAUUAA